UUUUUAGGACGUCGCGACCCGUUCGAUGUUGGUCGAAGGGUCAUAGUGAAGUUUGUUUCCCUUACAUUGGUUUUUCCGGUGUUUGUGGUGCAAUCCUGUGAUUUCCUGGCUAAUGUUGGACGGUAUGUCUUUUAAACCGGUUUACUUUAUGUAAUUGGUGGUCAGCGACGAAUAUUCGGUUCUCUUUCCGACCCGUCUUGAAACACGGACCAAGGAGUCUAACAUGUACGCGAGUCAUUGGGUUAUAUCGUAUAUUGAUAUUAAUUAAAAAACCUAUAGGCGUAAUGAAAGUAAAUUGCG
Molecule: ribosomal RNA, 300 nt
Filed under: Insignorthezia insignis
Lineage: Eukaryota; Metazoa; Arthropoda; Insecta; Hemiptera; Ortheziidae
Description: eukaryotic LSU rRNA
Rfam family: Eukaryotic large subunit ribosomal RNA
Source: RNAcentral